This 35-nucleotide small RNA is filed under the name Arabidopsis thaliana (thale cress). Its description in RNAcentral is "ATSL119580". Lineage: Eukaryota; Viridiplantae; Streptophyta; Magnoliopsida; Brassicales; Brassicaceae. The record is from RNAcentral.
AGAAGAAGAAGAAGAAGAAGAAGAAGCAAUGUCAG